Molecule: ribosomal RNA, 468 nt
Filed under: uncultured bacterium
Lineage: Bacteria
Description: partial 16S ribosomal RNA
Rfam family: Bacterial small subunit ribosomal RNA
Source: RNAcentral
GACGAACGCUGGCGGCGUGCUUAACACAUGCAAGUCGAACGGAAAGGCCCUGCUUUUGUGGGGUGCUCGAGUGGCGAACGGGUGAGUAACACGUGAGUAACCUGCCCUUGACUUUGGGAUAACUUCAGGAAACUGGGGCUAAUACCGGAUAGGAGCUCCUGCUGCAUGGUGGGGGUUGGAAAGUUUCGGCGGUUGGGGAUGGACUCGCGGCUUAUCAGCUUGUUGGUGGGGUAGUGGCUUACCAAGGGUUUGACGGGUAGCCGGCCUGAGAGGGUGACCGGCCACAUUGGGACUGAGAUACGGCCCAGACUCCUACGGGAGGCAGCAGUGGGGAAUAUUACACAAUGGGCGGAAGCCUGAUGCAGCAACGCCGCGUGCGGGAUGACGGCUUUCGGGUUGUAAACCGCUUUCGCCUGUGACGAGGCGUGAGUGACGGUACUGGGUAAAGAAGCACCGGCUAACUACGUG